RNAcentral lists this ribosomal RNA (458 nucleotides) under uncultured bacterium. RNAcentral's name for it is "partial 16S ribosomal RNA". It matches the Rfam family "Bacterial small subunit ribosomal RNA", at positions 338 to 795 of the family's 1533-position model. The record is from RNAcentral.
CCUACGGGAGGCAGCAGUGAGGAAUAUUGGUCAAUGCCGGAAGGCUGAACCAGCCAAGCCGCGUGAAGGACGAAGGUGCCAAGCAUUGUAAACUUCUUUUGUCAAGGGACAAAAUCAGGCUCGAGAGCCUGACCGAGGGAACUGGAAGAAAAGGCACCGGCUAACCCCGUGCAAGCAGCUGCGGUAAUACGGAGGAGGAGAGCGUUAUCAGGAUUUAUUGGGGUGAAGGGGCGCGUAGGCGGACUGUUAAGUCAGCGGUAAAGGCCCGGGGCUCACCCCCGGCGUGCCGUUGAAACUGGCUGUCUUGAGAUGUCGAGAGGUAUGCGGAAUGCGCAGUGUAGCGGUGAAAUGCUUAGAUAUUGCGCAGAACUCCGAUUGCGAAGGCAGCAUACCGGCGGCGAUCUGACGCUGAGGCACGAAAGCGUGGGUAUCGAACAGGAUUAGAUACCCUGGUAGUC